Sinocyclocheilus anshuiensis is the source of this 210-nucleotide long non-coding RNA. RefSeq lists it as uncharacterized. The record is from RefSeq and is a predicted model, not a curated record. The transcript is spliced from 4 exons. NCBI's taxonomy places the organism in Eukaryota, Metazoa, Chordata, Actinopteri, Cypriniformes, Cyprinidae.
CAUCAUCCGCAAACGCUUCUUGUGUCUGGGAUGGGGUCUGCCCGCUUUAGUCGUCGCCAUUUCUGUCGGCUUCACCAAAGCCAAAGGUUACGGCACCGUCAACUACUGUUGGUUGUCUCUUGAAGGCGGACUCUUGUACUCAUUUGUGGGUCCGGCCGCUGCUGUCGUUCUGGUCAACAUGGUGAUUGGAAUUCUGGUUUUCAACAAGCU